UAGCUCUGUGGUAGAGCAAUCGAAUUGUAAUCGAUAGGUCGGGUUCAACUCCCGUUAACCA
This 61-nucleotide transfer RNA is filed under the name Aulosira sp. FACHB-129. RNAcentral's name for it is "Coleofasciculus sp. FACHB-129 tRNA-Thr". The stretch from base 1 to 54 matches the Rfam family "tRNA", at positions 8 to 63 of the family's 71-position model. From Rfam's summary of the family: Transfer RNA (tRNA) molecules are approximately 80 nucleotides in length. Their secondary structure includes four short double-helical elements and three loops (D, anti-codon, and T loops). Further hydrogen bonds mediate the characteristic L-shaped molecular structure. tRNAs have two regions of fundamental functional importance: the anti-codon, which is responsible for specific mRNA codon recognition, and the 3' end, to which the tRNAs corresponding amino acid is attached (by aminoacyl-tRNA synthetases). tRNAs cope with the degeneracy of the genetic code in two manners: having more than one tRNA (with a specific anti-codon) for a particular amino acid; and 'wobble' base-pairing, i.e. permitting non-standard base-pairing at the 3rd anti-codon position. The record is from RNAcentral. RNAcentral also lists the same sequence under 1 other name. Lineage: Bacteria; Bacillati; Cyanobacteriota; Cyanophyceae; Nostocales; Fortieaceae.